This 19110-nucleotide long non-coding RNA is filed under the name Populus tremula. RNAcentral's name for it is "long non-coding RNA (PTRE_LNC000428)". The stretch from base 6641 to 6835 matches the Rfam family "MIR159 microRNA precursor family". The record is from RNAcentral. Lineage: Eukaryota; Viridiplantae; Streptophyta; Magnoliopsida; Malpighiales; Salicaceae.
AGGUGAAAAACCAAAAGGAAUCUUAGCCAUGGCCCACCUCCCUACGGGCCAUGGCCCCUCUCUUCGCACAUAUCUUAGCUGCAACAGGACGGCAGCACCUGCUUGCCUGCCGACAAUCAUGGCUUUCAAUUUUGUUGUACCUUUGUGUUUUUGGAAGUUCCAGUUUUUUUGUUAAUAAUUAAUAAAGUAAAUAUUUAGAUAUAAUAUAAUACAUAAAUUUCUCGAAAUUAACAAAUUUUAGUUUCACUCAAUAACCUACGGACUUUUUUUCUUAAAACCUUGUCGAGAACCAGAUGACACACAAACAUUGGCACGUGUCAGUUUGGCGCGUGCGUGGGCAGGUCAUUGUCAAUCACUGCUGGCAAUUUUCUAUGACUUCGUAAGAAGGCAACAAAUUGGUCCAUGCAUCGAUCGCUGAUACUCUUAUCUCCAAAUAGUGUUGCCAUCUGCUGCUUGGCAUUUUCUCUAUAUGCGGACCCUUCCUUGUCAACAAUAACCAACCUGAGUGACUCAGCUACCGAGUUCCUCGUAAACGACCCGUCCUGCUCAUCUCUCGGCACUUCUAUCCCAACCUUCUUCCCUUCAAAAACCCUUGCGAUUAAUCCUUGGUCUAUAGCGAAUGGCAACAUGAUCAAAGCAAGUCCAAAGGAGAGUGCCUCUAUAACUGAGCUGUAACCGCAGUGAGUCAAAAAACCCCCAACCGAUUCGUGAGCCAUAAUCCUUAGUUGUGGUGCCCAGCUCGUCCACACCACUCCACGUCCUUUUACUCGUUCCUCAAAUCCAUCUGGUAACCUGACCGAGUCAUCCCGGUUCCUAAAAGCCCAAAAGAACGGCAGACCUGAUAACUCUAACCCGAGAGCCAAUUCAGUUAUUUCAUCUUGAUUCAUUGUUAACUCGCUUCCAAACGCUAUGUAAACCACAGAUCCUUGGGUUUGCUUGUCUAGCCACUCACUGAUCGUACCCCACUUUUCAUCCACCCCGCCAUCGCUAAACUGAGCAGGUGGUGGCAGUAGGCCUACUGGGAUUACAGGCUUACAGUGAAGGUCUUCCACGAGUCUUAAGAAAUCAGCCUCUAGCUCUAAGCAGCUCCUUACGGCUAUAACAUCACAGCCAGCAAGCACGGAUCCCCAACGAAACAUAUCAGUGACACCUGAACUGUUCAUUUCUAUUUGAUCCAAAAACCGCUUAGCUUCAUGGAUGCGAAAUGCAACUUUGGAGGGAAAUGUGACCCACUUUGGAGGGACCGUGAAGUGCUGCGGUUCGGUCCUUGGAUCGUCGCCGUUGAGAAUUGCUGGGUAUGAUGGUCCGGCGAAGGAUAUGGUCCAUGCACCAAAAAUGCUAAAGAGAACACCAGAGAUCCCAAGCUUGGUCGCUAUCUCAGGCAACCAGUAGGGAAUGAAAUCAAAGAUGAUCCAAUCUGGAGAAGAAGAAUGUAAGAAGUGAAAUAGAGAAUCUUGGAGUCUGUCAUAGGCUUCCUUUAGGAAUGGAAUUUUGUCGAAAGGCAAGUCUGCGGUGGCCUCUGCGUUGUUUGGGAGAUUUUCUACAUGGGGUAAAGCGAGGCUCACUAAAUUGAUUCGUGGUGUUAAAUUUGGAGGUAUAGAUGGUAAACGCUGGAUGUUUCGUGGAGUGGAUAUAAAGGAGAUCUUGUGACCCCUUUCAGCUAUUAGCUUGGCGAGCUCUAGAAAUGGGAUUAUAUGACCGAAAGCAAGCCAUGGGAACAUGGCUAUGUGGAGCUCGUCAGGCUCAUCCAUCGAUACUUCCUGAUCUAAAUGCUUUUGUGGCUUUAGCUUCUUAUCCUGUUUUCCAUGUAUAUAUAUACUCAGGUAAGACCCGCGAGCUAACUUUUUAUUUUUAUAAAAACUAUUAAAAGUAUAUUAAAUUUAAUACUAUAACGCAUAAUACUGAUAAUAAUAUUUAAUUUGUUUGUCUAAAUUUUUAUAUUUUUUAAUCUUUUAAAAAAUUUAUAUUUUUCUUUGAUAAUAAUAAUAUUUUUUUAAUUUAUUAAUAAUAAUAAUAAUAAUUUUACCUAUCAAAUAAAAUUUAUGUUUGUUUUUCAAUGUUGAUAAUAGCUUUUUUAAAAUUUAUUAAUUAUUCUAUUACCAAUAAUAUUUAAAAAUCUAAAACUCAUGAACCUUAAGUAUUAACACAGGAUCCCGAAGCUUUGGUUCAAGCAGGGCUACAGUGCCCAAAUGAUUUGGACAACAACAACAAUAGUAAUUGAUUUUACUCUUCGAAUUAUUUUUAUGUUUUUUUAUAGUAAUAAUAUUUAUUUUAAAUUUUAUAAUAUUAAUAAUAAUAUUAAACUCGCCUUAUUCAAGUUCUUAUUAUUUUUAAUUCAUUCAAAUAAAAUUUAUGAUUUUUUUUCGAUAGCAACAAUAUUUUUUCAAAUUUAUAAAUGAUGAUGAUAGUGAUAAUUUUUAAUUUCAUGCUUCAAAUCAAAUCUAUGAUUUUUUUUAGUGAUAAUAUUUUAUUUCAAAUUUACCAGGGAUAAUAAUAACAACAACAACAAUAAUAAUUUAUAAUUUUACCCUUCAAAUUAAAUUUAUAGUUGUUUUUCGAUAUUAAUAAUAUUUUUUCAAACUUAUUCAUUAUUAUAUUUGUGAUAUUAAGUAUAAUAAAAAAUAAUAACAUUACAAUACAAAAAUAAUAUUUAUCAUAUUAAUAAUAUUAUUAAAUUUGUCUGGUCCAAGUUUUUAUAGUUGUAAAUUCUUUAAAAAAUAUUUACUAAUAUUAUAACAUUAAUAAAAGUACUUAACUUGUGUGCCUAAGUUGUAUUUUUUAAUUUUUUAAAAAAAAAUUAUGUUUUUUUUGUAGUAAUAAUGUUUUUUUGAAUUUAAUGAUGAUGAUGAUUUUUAAUUUUACCUUCAAAUGAAAUCUAUUUUUUAAACAUUAAUAAUAUUUUUUUUAGAUUUAAAAAUUAUUAUAUUAAUAUUUUUAACUAUAAUACAAAUAAUUAUAUUUAUAAAUUUAAGAUCCAAGAACCUUAGGUUCUAACGCAGGACCGAUUAGCCUUGAGUCAUGAUGCCGGAUCCAGAGCCUUGAGUCAAGCAGUGCUGCAUGACCCAAGUUACGUGGAUCGCGCUCAUGCCACAUCCAAGUAACAUGGAUAAGACACCCAUUUCCAGCAACAAGUUUAAUGGUUUGGAAGAGGAUAUCCGAUCCAAGUUAAUAAUAAUAAUAAUAAUAAGAUGAAGAAGAAAAAUAAUAAGAAUAACAAUUAAUUUUACCCUUAAAAUAAAAUCUAUGUUUUUUUAUAGUUAUAAUAUUUAUUUUAAAUUUAAUAAUUUUUAACUUAUCUGCCAAAGUUUUAUAUUUUUUAAUUUUUUUAAAAAAUAUUUAUGGUUUUUCUUUGAUGAUAAUAAUAAUUUGUUUUUAAAUUUAUCAAUAACGACAAUGACAAUAACAUUAACAAUAAUUUUUAAUUUUACCAUUAAAAUCAAAUCUAUUAUUAUUUUUAAAUAUUAAUCAUAUGUUUUACAAAUUUAUUAAUUAUUAUGUUUUUAUAUGAAAAUCAAUGAUCUCAUUAAUACCUGGUAUAGUACUAUCCUCGCAUUAUUAUGAUGAUGAUGCUUGAGACAACAACCACUCCAUUCAUCACAAUUAAUGAACAGUGAGGCACACUAUUAUAACUUUUAAUGAAAAAUCUAGAAUUGUUUAUCAAACAUAAAUAAUUAAUAAUUUUAAAAGGUGUAGUUUAAACUAGUAGAUUUUAAAUAUAUUUUUUUAAAAAAUAUUAAUUUGAAUCUUGUCAAUUUUAGAGUUAUUAGAGGCUUAUAAUGUUGUUAGAUCUAGAACUCAUAAGAUUAGUUGAGAUAUAUACUCAAAUAUUUACAUUGAUGACAUGGAUGGAAAUAAUAAUUAUGCAUAACAAAACAAUAAACUUAUCUGCACUCAGAAAAAUCUGGUUUUAAUUUUUUAUUUAUUUGGAAUAGAGAGAGAGUAUGAUGCACUGCUUAUUUGGAAUAGAAAAAUCUGCUUAUUUUAAUUGUAUGAUGCAGUGCUUACAAAGAGUUAGAAGUUCCAUGGAAAAGGAUUCUCCUUUCAUCGUAAAACAAUAAGAUUUUCAAUUUAUUUAUUAAAUCAGAUGAAGAUAAUGCUUCACGUUUAUUUAAAGAUUAUUUUAUUUUUCUAAAAAAUUAUCACAAUCUGUUUUAUAACUUUAAAAAACAAAUUAAAAUUUGUGUGCCAUAAUUAAAGUUCCUAAUGGCCGCUAGCUAUUGGGAUGGCCGGCUUGAAGUCUUGAAGACAAGGGCUCAAUUUUCAGCAUAAGCGCUCGACUACUCGUCGUGUAGCCCAGAAACAAAAGGCCCAAGGAUGGUCUGGAUAUGGGACCGCCAGAAGCCCAAAACUAAGGGGGUGCCAAAUUCGAAACGCCACCUUUUAUCUUCUGCAGAAAACAAGAGGUUCAUUCAUCUACGGUCUAAAUAAGAGAUUGUGUUAAUCUUGAUUCUCAAAAGUAUUUUUUAUUUGAAAUUAUAUUAAAAUAAUAUAUAUAUAUAUAUAUUAUUUUUUUUGAAAUUAUUUUUAACAUCAACACAAUACAAAAUUUUAAAAUAUAAAAAUAUUUCGAAAGCAUUUUCAAUUGCAAAACAAACAUACCAGCGUUCCCCAGAUUAUACUCAGUCAGAUUGGAGGACAACAGUUUUCAAUGAAUAAUUUGAGAGCCUACAGCACGAGUAACAUUCACUUUGAAGGGAAUGAGCGUGUCUCAAGAUGGUGAAUUAUGCUUUCAAAAAGACGGUGAGCGCAGUCGGUUAACCAUCUCCUUACAUACUAGUAUGCGCUCCACGGAGAAUUAAUAAUUUUUUUUAAAAAUAUAAAAAAUACAAAAAAUAUUUUAAUUGUAUUAGAUUUGGCCAUGAACCAGCCACUAGCUUUUAACAUAAAAAAAAAAAAAAGAUAAUACCCUUGUAACAUUACAAUAUGCUUCAUAGUAUUUAUUUUAUAUAGUAUUUUUUCCAUGUAUUUUAAAAUAUAAUAUAAUAUGUGUAUGUUAAUUUAUCUUUAUAUUAAUUUGGUUUACAGGUAGUUUUAUAUUUGUAUAUUGGACAAUUUCUUUGAGCUAUACCAAGUUUUAAAUGUCAAAUAACUAUCUUAAUCCAAUAAUUUAAACUAUUAUGUGAGAUUCAAAGAUAUUAUUUAUAUUAUUCUCUAAUAUACCUUCUUAAGUAAAAGGGUUUGAAACUUACAUAGAUCUACAUUACCUUGUAUUUAAUUUUUAUCAAAUAUAUGAGAAUAGUGAGAUUCAAACUCGUGACUGCUUGAUCAUCAAGACUCUGAUACCAUGUCAAAUAACCAUCUUUAUCUAAUAAUUUAAACUGUUAAAUGAGAUUCAAAAAUAUAAUUUAUAUUAUUUACCAACACUAAAUUCUUAUAUUUUGACAUAUUCUUCAACAUGUUUUUUUGUUAUUUUUCUUUGAAAUGUCCUUCCAUAUAGUAAUUUUAAAACCAACUGGAAACACACCGAGUAUUUUUUUAUUAGAAAAACUAUUUUAUCAAUAUACAAAAAAAAAUACAAGUACAUUUUAAUUUUGGAUAAUGAAAAUGAAAGUUAGAGCCAAAUUAAAAGGAAAAAACCUCAAAAACUAUAACAAUAUAUAAUAUUUGAAGUUGUCAAUGUUCUUAUCUAUUUUAUAUAAUUCUAAAUUAACCUUCAUAUUUUGAAAAAUCAGUCUAAUUAUAAUAAUUAUUCCUAUAAUAAUUAUUUUUAUAACAAUUUAUCUUUAUUUUAUUUAUCAUGUCCCUCUGACCAAAAAAUAAUAUUGAAGUCCAGUAAAAAAAAAAGAAACAUUUUGUGAGCUAUAAAAAAAUACCAGUUAUUAGAAAAAAGAAGAAGAAGCUGACACCGAAUUGUUUUUUUUUUUGAUCGAAAUGUAAGUAGCUGACACCGAAUUUUGCACUGCCAUGUAACGGCAUUUCAGAUAGCGGAAGAAAAUGCCCGCUCCCCUCAAAUAUCCGGUCAGCAACGUUUGCGGUGGCAUCCAACGUAAUAUUUACUACCAUAUAUAUGCAAAGAAACACUAAAAUGUCGGGGAUCAAGAGCUUGAUUUAUAUAUAUAUAUAUAUAAUCCUUAUUUUAGACUCAUAUCUAAAUAUAAUCAUUCUAAUGGCAUCCCAAAUCUAUAAAUUUAUUUUAUUAAAAUCCUAACAUCUCAUAUAUUUCUCAAUUGAAUCUUUUAUUUUUUUUUUUUAAUAUUUUAAAUCUAUUUCCGCACCAAAAUGUAUUGAUUUGAAUAAAAAUUAUAGAAAAGUUAUUGAAACGAAUAAUUUAUAUAUUGAAACGAUAUCAAUUUGAAAUAAAAAUGAUGAGAGUUUUUUUUUUAUGAACAUUAAUAAAAGGACUUUAUGCCUUGUUUGUUUUCAGGAAUUCAUUUUCCUGUAAACUACUUUCCCCACUUUUCCAUGUUUGGCAAGCAUUUGGAAAAUUGGUCAAAGGAAACUGAAUUCCAGUCAACAGAAAAAUUAAAACGUUAAAUGAGAAAGUGUUUUCCUUUCUUUAUUUUAAGGAAAACACUUUUUUUUUCUUUACUAACAAAAACUGUUCUCUGUCUCUAAAAAACAAAACUCCUAAAGACUUUUUCUCUCCCAAUAAUUUACGCAGUUGCAAGCAUCUCAUCUUCCAGAUAAGAGACUAUUAGGUACCAUUAAAUAGGAGUUUGCUCACUCCAGAUCUGAAAGGAGGUGAUACUAAACCACUUCUGCUACUUCAUGAAUACCCAUGGGUGUGCGCGUAGCCAAGGUGAGCUGCGCAGGCUAUAGGUCUGCAUGUGCUAGGAGAUGUGGUUGCCUUGAUCUUUUUGGUCUUGGGGUGAAGGGAGCUCCUAUGGACUUCCUAGCAGCCUUCAUUACUCUUUCUAGAAUGCAAAUUGCUUUAUUUCAUUUUAGUUGUUUUUUGCUUUUUCUGGGAUCAUCGGAUCAAGGAAUAUAUAGCAGCAAUUAAAAGUAAAUUGACAAUUCUCCACAAAAUCUUCCACGCGAUAUUAGGUAUCUGUGGGCGCUGUUGCAUGAAAUGCUUGAUUUCUCUCUCUCUCUCUGUUUUUUUUUUGAUGGACCAGAUAUAAGAUGAUUUCAGGUCUUUUACUUGGAUGAGCCUUGGAGGACGGUGGACCAGCUGGUGGUUUUUGUGGAUAGCGGCGAGCUUUAAGAAUAUAUCAUCAAUUCGCGGGAGAUGAGAACAAUAAUUAGGGAACAUUUUGUUAAACAUCCUUUUCAAUUGCAAAUUUAGCUCUAUGGACUCCUGUUUUCUCCUGAAAGAUAUUUUUCUCACAGUGAGGGAUAAGUGGUGUGUGUGUGAAAAAGAAAUGCAAAAAACAUAUUUCUAUUUCUCUUGGGUCAAUCUGUUUUCUUUUUAAUGGCAAACCUUGUAUGUAUAUUUUGAUGAUACAUGAAAAAUGUGUACAUAUUUUUAUAAAUAUAGUACAUAUUUAUAAAUUAUUUAUAUUAAAUAUUUUAGAUAUUUUCUAGAUAUAUUUUGUGAUAUUUAUAUUUACAAAUCUAUAAAAAAUUAUCCUUUUAUAAACAUAAAAGAGCUAAAGUUUAUCAUAGACUUCAAAUCUAACACAAUAAAAAUUUAAUACAAGAUUUAAAUAAAAUUGCCUUUACCCGUAUAAAAAAAAAUAUUUAUCCAAAAAACCCAUAAAAAUAUUUUUGUAUGUAUUUAUCUUUUAAAAAAUUCUUUAUACUAAAAAAAAAACCCAAAUAAUAAAAAAAAAUUCAUCAUUAUACUUUUUAGAUUUCAUUUUUUUUUAUUGUAAGUGAUUAAAUAUUUUAUAUUAAAUAUUUUAUAAAUAUUAGAUAAACUUGAAAAAAAAUUAAUUCAUUAAUAAAUUAUUUUCCAGUUCAUUUUCCAUAACACAACCAAACACUGGAAAGUGUUUUCCAGUUCAUUUUCCAUAACACUACCAAACAUCGGAAAAUACUUUCCCGGAAUUUACUUUCCAGGAAUUCACUUUCCUCGGAAUUUACUUUUCAAAAGGAAACCACUUUCCUGCAAACAAACGGAGCCUUACUGAGAAUUUGUUUUCAAAUGUUCGGGAUCAAAUUGAUAAAAUCAACAAGUUUGGGACUCCAUAGAUAAUGGGUAUAUAGAUUAGGAACCAAACAGACUAGAGGUUUUUUUUAUUGAGAGAAAUUGAAGUGACGUCUCCUAGGAUUGCAUGGUUUCAGCGUUGCUUGUAAAAGUUCCUCACCUCCACUUUACAUUAUCUUGUCCCGUUAACAAAUCAAAUACUGCCACGUGUUCUUCUUCCUUCCUAUUCGUUAAUUACUCGCUCAGGAUUCCUGCCCAUAAAUCUACUCCUCCCUCGCCUAAAUAUUUCUCCUUCCCCUCUCUUUCCUUAACGAAAACGUUGAAGGAGAGCUUUUCUUUGCUUCAAUCCUUCACUUUGUUGAUAAAUUAAGCUUCUUUUUAUAGAAAACAAAUCUUAAAUUGAAAAUGGGAAAUGCCUUGAGGUUCCUCUAUGGGCAUUGCUGCAAACCAACAACAGCUGGGGACUCUGAUUCAUUGGGACCCCACGGUGUAUCAGCCGCAACAGUUGGUGUUUCAGCUCUUGCCCGUGAUUUGUUUCACUUUGAAAUCACCUCUCAGGUAUUCUUUCUUGCUCUGAAUUUAAACUUCUCUCAUUUUUUGGCUGUUUGUGGCAACGUUUGACUCUGCUUAUGGUACAAUUAAAUUCUUGGUCAUAGUCAAUCUGAGUGAUCAUGGAACUUUUUUGAGUUCAUGUUUUCUUUUUUAUCAUGUUAUGGUUUAGCAUAAUUUCAUGAUCUUCAGAGUUGAGUGUCUUCUGUUUUUUUGUUUUCUUAAGGUCCCAGAAGGACUUGAUAAGCAUGUGGUCUCAUCCAAGAAGGCUCAAGCUAAUUGGUAAUAAUUAUAAAGCAAUCUGUAAUUCUCUGUAAAGUUGCAAGCAUGUAGUGAUAUAUAGUUUAUCUGAAUUUUGGACUUUAAAAGGUAUAGAAAGUUGUUGGAGGCAUGGAAAGAAGCAAAACCCCCACCAGAAACACCCGAAGAAGUUGCUAGGCUUGUUAUUCAGACCUUGAAGAGACACCAAAAGGCAGAUGUUGAGGUACUAAUUGAAAACCAAUUUCAGCAUUAGACCUGUCGGAGUGCAGAAUGCUUACUACAUCGGGGUAGGUUUAAUGCAAAAUGAUCGUUCCUGUUUUUCCUUGCAGGGUUUAUUGGCUUUCUACGGUCUCCAACUUCCGCAUCCUCUUGCUCAAGUUUCUGCAGGGGGGCCAACAUCAUUGCCUCAAGGGGUCAAGUUCGAGAUGCAAACUUUACCAGUUAAUUAUUGCAAUAACCCUUUUGAUCAAACUUUAAAUUUAUUUACAGUCUAGUUAGUUUGAUGUGAUAAAACCAUUUGAAUUAAUUAACCCAGGUGGAUCCCAAAGCUGUAGCUGAUGGAGAUACCAUAACAGUUUAUGUUAGCACGACCGACACCAGGGAGUCAUCUUCUGUUCCAGGGGAAGUUCAUAUGGCCGCUGUUCAAAGAUCAAAAGCUCGCGCGGAGAGGAACUAUGGGAAGGCAGAUGCGCUUCAAAAAAAAAUUGUUGAAGCAGGAUAUCGGUUGGUUAUCUGAUUUCCCCUGUAUAAAUUUUGUUAAAUGAACCCUCGGGGUGACAAAUUCGUUUCAAAUAAUUCGUUUGCGUGCGCAGGGUAAUGAAUGUUCAAAAUGAGGAGAUUCUUGCUCGAAAGUAUCGCAUUCGAUUAAGGUGACAUCUGCUCCUUGUAGGAUUCGGUCCCUAAUUAGGCUUAUGUAUUGCAGAGGUUAAUGACUUUCGCCUGGAAAAAAUGCAGGGGCAUAGAUGCACCUGAGAGUUCAAUGCCAUAUGGGAAAGAGGCGAAAGAGGAGCUAGCUAAUCUUGUUCAGGGCAAGUGUUUGAGAGUCUUUGUCUAUGGAGAAGAUCGUUAUCGCCGCUGUGUAGGUGAUAUAUACUGCAAAUGGACUGUUUGUACAGGUGGUGCCCCCAUUUUCUUGAAUUGAUCUUUACAUGAUUUAUUAGUAGCGUACGAGUUUUCUAAAAUCUGUGUGUACCAGGAAGUGAUGCUCAAGAAGGGUCUUGCAUGGCAUUAUACUGCCUAUGAUAAACGCUUGGAACUAGAAACAGUAAGUAACCAUUGUUCUUUGCGAACUCCCGCACUAUAAAUUCUUCGCAGUCUUAAUUAUUGUAUGUAUCUUAUUAGUGGGAAAAGGAGGCUCGAGCAAAGCGUGUAGGGUUAUGGGCUUCAUCAAACCCUGAGAUGCCAUGGGAAUGGAGAAAGGACAGACGUGAAGGCAGAUAGCAUUGUCCUCAUUAACCCGUCCAGACAAGUGACCUUUUGUUCUUGUCUGCAUCGACCACGUAAGCAGGCAUAACCCAGACCGGGAUAUAUUAACCCAUAAGUUGCAUCAGCUCAGAAGGUGUCUGGAAAUUAUGCCCAAAUUAUACUUGAUACUAGAGUUUUUGUAAUUUAGAGUUGGAUUGAAAAUGCCAUUGAAGCCAGUAAACUUGAGGCUAAAAGCAGGGAAAUAUCGUGCGUGCUAAGCUAUAUAAUAAUCUCCGCACCUAGAUGCUAAAACCAUGAAUAUUUGAUGAUCAUUGCAUAUGUGGUGCAAUUCUGGACUAGCAAAAACUGUUGCAAUUCUUGAGUCAACCUCACGUUAAAAUCAAGAACAGGGGAAGGCACAAAAUCACUCUGUGUUUAUUGGAAUCGCUCCAAUGAAGGCUUUAUUCAAAGUCGUUAUAUGGCUAAGAAAAUAUCGUGUCUCUCUUCAUUACAUUCAGCCUUUAAAUAGUAAUCUAAACAAACUAUUUCCGAUUUUGACUAGGAAACUAAGAAAGCAAUAACAGACUAAAUCUCUAACUCUAACUAGGAAAAUAACAAAAUAAGAAAGUACUAUCAGGAAAGAAAUAGAAUUACAGCAGCUCUUUAAUGUGUUUGGUCACGGCACUACAGGGCCCCUUCUUCUGGAUUUGCAUCAAUUGCCAGCUCCCCUGAAGAACUUGACUCUGGCAAGUUAUGACAAAUGUACUCAGUAAAUAGCUGUGGAUGUAAACGUUGGAUUUCUGAAGCUUGCAGCCAAACGGAGUCCGAUUGUGGAUGAUUUCUCCAUUGUACCAGGAAUUUAUAAUAGCCUCCUCGACGAGUGGUAACAAAUUGAUGGUCAAGGAUGGCAGCAAUCUCAUCUCGUGGUGUUGUAGUUUCUGGGAGUCGUAAUUCUGGUGUUGCUGCUGGAACUGGUAAAGCCGUAACAUCAUCAAUAUUACCCUUGAAUUCUGUAAGAUCUUCAAUGUUAAAAAUGGGACUGAUACCGAAAUCAGAAGGUAAGUCAAUGACGUAGGCAUUAGAACCCAAUUUCUUGGUGACCUGAAAAGGGCCUACUCGUUGUGCAUGAAGCUUGGUAAAGCUUCCUGGAGGGAGACGUUCAGGUCGUAAGCGAACCAAAACCAUAUCACCUUGAGUAAAUUGUCGAUCUCUGCGUUUUGUGUUUGCCUUAGCUGCAUAAGAGUUUGUAUGGACAGUCAGGCGUCGCUUGCAUUCCUCGUGAAUAUCUUGCAUGUAGCUGGAAAAGUCUAGCGCAGCUUCACUUGGCCUCGGUGGUGAUGGUAAUGGAAUAAUAUCCAGUGGGGUGUUGGGUUGAAACCCAUAAACCACUUCAAAAGGGGUGCAGCCUGUUGAACGGUUAACAGAAUUGUUGAAGGCAAACUUGGCGUGUGGAAGCACCAUAUCCCAGCUGGUUACAUGAUAUGUGACGAGGCAGCGUAAUAAAUUUCCCAGGCUUCUAUUUGUUACCUCUGUCUGGCCGUCUAUUUGGGGAUGGAAGGCACUAGAGAACAUUAGCUUUGUCCCCAUUUUUGCCCACAAGGUUUUCCAGAAAUAGCUCACAAACUUGACGUCCCUGUCAGAUACAAUUGAUAUUGGAAUACCAUGCAAACGAAUGAUCUCCUGUAGGAAUAAGGUAGCCACUUUUGAUGCAUCAUACGUUCUGUGGCAGGGAAUAAAGUCAGCCAUUUUGGAGAAACGAUCGACGACCACCAUAAUUGAGUCAUGUUGUCGCAAUGUUUUUGGCAGUCCCAGGACAAAGUCCAUGCUCAGGUUUUGCCAUGGUUUGCUUGGAAUGGGAAGUGGCGUAUAGAGCCCUGCUGGUUGUUUGGUUCCUUUAUUCAAUUGACAAAUCCGGUAUUGGUCAACCACUGUGUGUACGUCCCUUCUCAUUCGAGGCCAGUAGAAUCGGCCAGCAACAAUAGCAAAGGUUUUGUCAUAACCAAAGUGCCCAGCUAAACCCCACCAUGGAGUUCUGUUAUUAGGAAUUCUCGCAAGGAGCCACGUGGGACACAUAAGCGUGAGUUGUAAAAUAGAAAGCCAUCACGCAACACAUAAUCCUUCACUGAUGCAUGUGCAUGAGUGGAGAUUUCAUUCCACACUUUUCCGAAGUCGUCGUCAUUGGCAUAUUCUAUCUUCAGGCUUUCGAAACCUGCUACAUUGGCUGAGAACAUCUGCAAUAGGUGUGGUCUUCUACUUAAGGCAUCGGCUACCUUGUUUUCUGUCCCUGAUUUGUGUCUAAUAACAAAGUCAAAUUGUUGUAAAUAAUCCAUCCAACGAGCAUGCCGCGCAUUAAGUUUGCUUUGGGAAUUUAAGUGCUUCAAGGAAUCAUGGUCUGUAAAGAGAAUGAAUUCUCUAUGGACCAAAUAAGGACGCCAAUGCUUGAGUGUUUGGAUUAAAGCAUAGAAUUCCAUAUCAUAUGCUGAAUAUCGUCGGCAUGUGUCAUUAAGUUUUUCACUGUAGAAGGCAAUAGGAUGGCCCUCUGGCUUAGUACACCCCGAUGCCAACAUGUGAGGCGUCACAAGCCACUUCAAAAUUUUGGGGAAAUCUGGCAGUUUGAGCACUGGUGCUUGACCCAUCUUUUCCUUAAUUUCUGUAAAUGCUUUGGCAACUGCUGUACUCCAGGAAAAUUUCUUUUCUUUCAAGCAUUCAGUGAUUGGGGACAUUAUUGUGCUGAAGCUACAGAUAAAACGCGAUAGAAUGUGGCCAAUCCGUGAAAAUUUGACUUCAGAGAGUUCUGGGGUGUUGGCCACUGCUGGACAGCCUGCACUUUUGCAGGGUCAGCCUCAACACCUUGAUCAGAAACUAUAAAACCCAGGAACUUGGCACUUUUCUUCAUAAAUGAACACUUGUCUUUAUUAAUAUAGAGUUGCUCAGCUCUUAAGACCUUCAGAACCUGCUUGACAUGGCUCAAAUGCUCCUGCACACUUCAGCUAAAAUUAAGAUGUCAUCAAAAUAAACAACAACAAAUUUUCCCAAAAAUGGUUUGAGAACUUGCGUCAUGACACGCAUGAAAGUGCUUGGUGCAUUGGUUAAUCCAAAAGGCAUGACUAGCCACUUGAAUAGACCAUCUUUCAUUUGAAAGCUAUCUUCCAUUCGUCCCCACCCGGAUACGAAUUGGUGGUAGCCACUUCGAAGGUCGAUUUUAGUAAAAACAGAAGAGCCACAUAAUAGAUCCACAUAUCAUCAAGGCGAGGAAUGGGAAAGCGGUACUUUACAGUUAUUUUAUUAAUUCUCGACUAUCGACGCACAUCCUCCAGCUACCAUCUUUUUUGGUGUAAGUAAAACCGGAACAACACAAGGGCUGAGACUUUCUCGGAUGAACCCUUUGUCUAGUAAUUGCUGAAUUUGUCAGCUGAGCUCCUCAUUCUCUAUUGGGCUCAUGCGAUAGUGAGGUAGGUUAGGCAGGGUUGAUCCUGGGAUUAGAUCAAUAACAUGUUGUACUUCCCUCUUUGGUGGUAGUUGAUUUGGAACUUUGGUAGGCAUGAUAUCCUGAAAUUCUUCCAACAGUGUUGAAAAUUCGAUUGGAAUAAUGCCAUCUUUUUGCUUCACCUCACGAUUCACUACUAAUAGCACCAUGUUUUCUUCAUGUAUAACUCGAGAGAAUUGUCGCAUCGUCAAAACUGGGACGACUUCUUUUGUUGUAUCGAAUUUUGAAAUUUGUAGAGGGUCCAACACAAGUUUCUUACCUUUGAAGGUAAAAGAGUAAGUAUUAGCAUACCCAUCAUAGGAGACUCGUCGGUCAUAGAGCCACGGGCGUCCUAAUAGCAUAUGACAAACAGUCAUAGGAAUCACAUCACACUAGGUUUCGUCCAUAUUUUUUUUUUCUAAUGAGAAUUUGACCAAACAACGUUGUGUCACUAAGACAGAAUUGGCUUCAUUAACCCAACUGAUCCGGUAAGGUGUGGGGUGUUUCACAGUCUUCAGUUUCAGCCGUUCGACAGCAGUUUUAGAGAUCAUAUUCAUGCCACUACCAUUAUCAAUAAUGACAUUUAGAGCACGGUUAUUAUGCUCCAGGCGGGUGUGAAAAAUAUUGGUACGCAACCACUCAGGAUUAGUUUGGAGUUUUUUCCUUGUUCCUGUCAACACUCGAUGGAUAACACAGCUGGGUAGGUUUGAUGCACCCAAGUGUUCUUCUUCGUUGUGCUCACUUCCAUCAAGUUCCCUUUCCAUGUCUUCAACAAUGUCCUCUGCUAUUAAGUCCUUUUCACAGAUGAAUGCUAAUUUUUUUGCUCUCGUAGGACACACCACAACAUAGUGUCUGAAACCUUUACACUUAUAACAUUGUGGUCCUUCGUUCAUAGCUUUGGCUUUUCCCUUAUAAUCCCCACUUAUCCCUCCUCUGGUUUGGUAUUUCAGCAAUGAAGGCCUUUGGUUUGCAGAUGCUGGGGUAUAUUCUGCCCUUGAGUCCCAUGAUGUCAUUCUUCUUCCAACCAACGGUCCCAUUUGUUUCUCAAUGCGGAGCGCCAACUGAUAUGCUUCCUCCACAUUGAUUAGGCGUGCAGUCCAUAUUUCUUUACGCAGUUCAUUGCGUAGCCCCGUGCGAUAUCGAGCUAAGGUUUGUUGCUCAAUCUCCACAACCUUACUGCGAACUGUUAAUUCAUGGAAGCGGUCUGUAAAUUGAUCAACGCUUAGUGACCCUUGCCUGAGUUGUAGCAUUUCCUCAAACAUCAUUUGCUCAUAGUCAAUUGGCAAAUAUUUCUCUUUAAGUCGUUCUUUCAUCUCUGCCCAAUUAGACACUGCAGGUCUCUGUGUUCGGCGCAAUUGUUCUUCCACGCUACCCCACCAUGCCCGUGCAUGCCCCUUUAGUUUCAUCCGAACAUAGCGAACCUUCCUAUCCUCUGAAACAGCAAACCAAUCAAAAUAAUCUUCAAUAGCUGUUAACCAAUCUUCAAAAGCAUUGGGUUCUAAUUUUCCAAGAAAAUCUGGCACGUCAACCUUCAUUCUUUUAGUUAGUUCAUCAAGAGGUUGAUAGCCUGCACCAUGACCCGCAUGCCCUCGAUGCGUGUUCUGCCUAUGAUGUCAGACUCGAGGAUCAUGAUUUUUGAAUUCUUGGUUUCCUUCUUCUUCAUCAUAAGCGUCACCAUCGAUGUCACCCAACCUUUCUCUGUGAAUUGUUCUAUGCCUUUGUUGAUUGAAAGGCCCAUUCGUCUCUCGAGUAUAACGCUCCUCCAUUACAUCCAGUCGAUGAAUAAGUUGUUCCAUUAUUGUGGAGAUCUGAUCGACUUGGUAGCAUAACUGGGGCUGGUCUGUUCCUUGGGAGUUUGGAUUUUGGUUGGUUGGGUCCGGGUUGUUGUUUGGGUUUUGGGUGUUUGAGUUUGGGUUGUUUGGGUUCGGGUUGGUUUGGUCUGGGUUGUUUGGGUUCCGGUUGUUUGGGUUUUGGGUGGUUGAAUUUGGGUUGUUUAGGUUCUGGUUGUUUAGGUUGUUUGUCAUGGCGAAUGAAGUGCCGCUGCGGGUUACAUGCAUGGGUGUUAAAUGUAUUGAUGAAUGGAACCGGGUAACCACACAGAAGCUCUGAUACCAAUUUGGUGCAAUUCUGGACUAGCAAAAACUGUUGCAAUUCUUGAGUCAACCUCACGUUAAAAUCAAGAACAGGGGAAGGCACAAAAUCACUCUGUGUUUAUUGGAAUCGCUCCAAUGAAGGCCUUUAUUCAAAGUCGUUAUAUGGCUAAGAAAAUAUCGUGUCUCUCUUCAUUACAUUCAACCUUUAAAUAGUAAUCUAAACAGACUAUUUCCGAUUUUGACUAGGAAACUAAGAAAGCAAUAACAGACUAAAUCUCUAACUCUAACUAGGAAAAUAACAAAAUAAGAAAGUACUAUCAGGAAAGAAAUAGAAUUGCAGCAGCUCUUUAAUGUGUUUGGUCACGGCACUACAGGGCCCCUUCUUCUAGAUUUGCAUCAAUAUGGGUAUAAUAAAAUAUCAGAGGAACAAUUUAUAAAUGCAUUAUUCCUGUCUUUGUCCACGCCCCAAGGACCAUGUACCCAACGACAAGGAUUUACCAGUUAACAAAAAGUGCAAAACUUUUUCCAAAUAAAUACAUAAUCGAAGAUGUUUCCAAGCGAGACAUUUAGAGCAUCCUCUUCAUUUCCACGUACUGCUAAACUGCUCGUGGUAAAGGUAAAGAGUAAAAGAGAGAGGUGACAUUAUAAAGUUUGAUCUUAUUUCCUGUCAUCCUCUGAAUCUGAGUCACUUCCAUUAUAACCUAAAGAAGUCCAAAUAAAAGUCAAGUAAGACAAACGGAGCCAUUCCCUAGAAUACCACUGAGAAGAGAGAGAGCAUGUACCUGGACGUUUAUUGCUUACUUUCCAUACUGAAGCUCGACGUUUUGAAGCUCUACUAAUCCAAGCACUUCCCUUAAACACGAUUUUAUAUAGACUAUUUAGAAUGGCAAAAUCACAACCAAAAAGAUAAAGAGAGGAAAUACAAAACUGACGACUGAGACGACUAGGCAGAUAAAUUAACAAAUGGAAGGCUCAGAAUCGCUGGUAGGAAUUUAGCAUUAGCAAUGAAAUGAAAAGCCUUUAUCCUAUACAUACUAUGAGACUUUCACACUGAAAAUACAUCUCUAAACACUCUUUCGUGUUGAAUAGGAGACAAUGAGAACUUUGGUAUUGUGUAACAGUUAGAAACGAAUGAUUCUAAGAAGAUGUUUUCCAAACCCUAUACUCAAAAAUCAACCACGAAGGAGAUUAAUUUAAAUUGAGAAAAUCUAGCAUAGUUCACAGUUCUAAUUGCCAAUUUAAAACGCAAAUUUCCAUCAGGCUUUCAGUGACCUCCCAAAAAUCAAAAUUGUAUUUACCAUCCCCCAAUCUGACUGCUAACUGCAAAGAGAAGAAUCUAUAAACAACAGCAAUAGGGAAUAUAAAAUAUUAAAGCUCUAACUUUUGUUCAUAUUCCUAAUUUCCUCGGGAAACAAACAAACAUAGAAGCCUCGGAAUACCGUGUAAUCUGCACAACCCAAUUGUUAUGGAAAAGAAAUACCAGCAACCUGAUCCGAAUUGUGUUUUCCCUUGUUUAAAACCAAAGGCAGCAUAACACUCAAAAUCCAAUAUUUUCUCAUUUACAACUCACAAAAACCUUGAAAUGGCAAAUCAAUGGCUGUGUCCUACAACCCCAGAACACAAUACAACGCUAGUAACAAUAAAAUUAAAGUUAUUGAUUUUAGCAUGCUAUGGAGCACACACAAACAAAGGGCUUAAUGUCUGGCAUACUGCAUUUCUUAUCCAAAAUAGAUGAUUUGCGACAGCUUUGGCUCACAAUUAGAGACAGGCAUAGAGAAGAAGUAAGGAAAUAAAAUUUAUUGAAUCUUAAAAUUAUAUAGUCUUAAGUUAUUAAUUUUUUUUUUAAUAAAUUCUCAUCCUCAAUAAAUUUGAACUGCUCAGUCAGUUCAGAAAAAUAAACUAGACACUUAUAUUUAUACCAGUUAUAUAAAAAAACCCUUAUUAAAUGUUCCAUAAGUAAUAGAAUUUAACUAGCAUUGUAAUGCAUAAACUAAAUAAAAAAAAUACAAAUAACUAAGAAAAAUAAUAAAAAAAGUCAAAUAACUUUUAAAUCUAACUUGAGCUUGGUCUCGAUCUUCGUCGGUGCUGGCUUGCCGACAACAUGCUUAUGAGAUCUUAGUUUGAUUUAAUAAUUGGAUAAUAGGUUAUGCCUUUUUUAACUCAUUUUAUUUUAUUAUUAUUUUAUGCUGAAAUUCGUGGAUAUGGUUCCUGAAUGAUCUGCUGGAUAUUCCACUUCAGCUGCCAGCCUGCCACCCUCCAAUAAAUUUAAAACCCUAAUAAUUUAACUAUAGCCCUUCAAGUUGCAGGUAGCUAUUCCUUUGAAGCAUAGAUGUCACUUCUCAUGAAAUAAUUGAGUAGGGCAUGCCAAUAAUGCCAUCGCUCGUAAUUAAAUUUCCUGGUGAAUGACCGCCACCAGAGAUUAUUGCAGCCAAAAUGGAUCUGCGCAAAUCAUUGCAGAACACGUGUUUAGGCUUUCUUUCGGUGACUAAUCGGUGAGAAAUUUCCUCUAACUUUCUGUGAACCUUACUAUUUAUUUUCCAGAGAAAGUUAUGUGAUAAACAGAAGGGGAAAUUUUCAAAUGUCGGUGGAUCUUUCAGUGUUAAAAUGUUCAAACAUAUCUUAGCCAAAACAGGAAAGUAGAAUAUUAGCGAGGGGGACAGGUGAAAAACCAAAAGGAAUCUUAGCCAUGGUCCCUCUCUUCGAACAUAUCUUAGCUACAACAUGACGGCAGGACCUGCAUGCCUGCCGACAAUCAUGGCUUUCAAUUUUGUUGUACCUUUGUGUUUUUGGAAGUUCCAGUUGUUUUGUUAAUAAUUAAUAAAGUACAAAUUUAGAUAUAAUAUAAUCAGGGCGGAACAAGAACAAAAAAAUUAGAGGGGCAAAUUAAAAACCUUCAAUUACUUUUAUUCAAAUCAUAAAUUUAUUCGAUUUUUAUUCAAAUCAUAAAUAUUUACAAGAAAAAGACUGAAAAAAACAUUUCCUUGAAAGGAUCGAGCCCCGCCAGCCUCCCCCUACCUCCCCCACUGAAUAUAAUACAUAAAUUUCUCGAAAUUAAAAUAGUUUCACUCAAUAACCUACGGACUUUUUUUCUUAAAACCUUGUCGAGAACCAGAUGACACACAAACAUUGGCACGUGUCAGUUUGGCGCGUGCGUGGGCAGGUCAUUGUCAAUCACUGCUGGCAAUUUUCUAUGACUUCGUAAGAAGGCAACAAAUUGGUCCAUGCAUCGAUCGCUGAUAGUCUCAUCUCCAAAUAGUGUUGCCAUCUGCUGCUUGGCAUUUUCUCUAUAUGCGGAUCCUUCCUUGUCA